CAGGAAGAAGCUUGCUUCUUUGCUGACGAGUGGCGGACGGGUGAGUAAUGUCUGGGAAACUGCCUGAUGGAGGGGGAUAACUACUGGAAACGGUAGCUAAUACCGCAUAACGUCGCAAGACCAAAGAGGGGGACCUUCGGGCCUCUUGCCAUCGGAUGUGCCCAGAUGGGAUUAGCUAGUAGGUGGGGUAACGGCUCACCUAGGCGACGAUCCCUAGCUGGUCUGAGAGGAUGACCAGCCACACUGGAACUGAGACACGGUCCAGACUCCUACGGGAGGCAGCAGUGGGGAAUAUUGCACAAUGGGCGCAAGCCUGAUGCAGCCAUGCCGCGUGUAUGAAGAAGGCCUUCGGGUUGUAAAGUACUUUCAGCGGGGAGGAAGGGAGUAAAGUUAAUACCUUUGCUCAUUGACGUUACCCGCAGAAGAAGCACCGGCUAACUCCGUGCCAGCAGCCGCGGUAAUACGGAGGGUGCAAGCGUUAAUCGGAAUUACUGGGCGUAAAGCGCACGCAGGCGGUUUGUUAAGUCAGAUGUGAGAUCCCCGGGCUCAACCUGGGAGCUGCAUCUGAUACUGGCAAGCUUGAGUCUCGUAGAGGGGGGUAGAAUUCCAGGUGUAGCGGUGAAAUGCGUAGAGAUCUGGAGGAAUACCGGU
RNAcentral lists this ribosomal RNA (651 nucleotides) under uncultured Pseudomonadota bacterium. RNAcentral describes it as "bacterial SSU rRNA". It matches the Rfam family "Bacterial small subunit ribosomal RNA", at positions 69 to 713 of the family's 1533-position model. Lineage: Bacteria; Pseudomonadati; Pseudomonadota. The record is from RNAcentral.